ACUGGGCCUAGGAUGAAAGGCGGACGCCUGUGGCGAACUGGUGAACGGGAGGAACGGAAAGGAGGCGGCAGGAGGCGGAGGGCAAGCGCUUCUCCGCAGAACCGGACCUCACUCCUAGGGACCAGGGGUGGGGGCGGAGGGGGCACGAACGGAACCCGGAAGCAAAUGAACUGGAAGUGACGCACCGCACUUCAUCGGUGGAGGCAGGCUGGCCGGGUUGUCAUGGAAACAGGACGGUGCUAGAGAACCCGGACUGACCUGAAGACCCGCGAUCCCAUUUCAAAGAAGGAACGACGGAGGUCACGCGAGACUGGAGAGGGGGCCAUGGGUGUUACUGCUGGCGAUCCAGGUUAAGAUUGCCGAUCGGGGUGGGAUGGUGGAGUCAAGAAGGCUUAGGAGUUAGCAGUUGUUGCUUGCGGAGUACCUGGGUUCCGUUCCCAGCACCCACGUGGCGGGUUACAACCAUCCAGGGCACCAGCACCAGGGGAUCUGAUGACCUCUCUCACCCCCACGGUUCUCUGGCACGUACGGUGGUGCACAUACGUAGAUUCAGGCAGCAUGCUGAAUAUAAAAUAAAAAGUAAAUCGCUA
This is a long non-coding RNA of Apodemus sylvaticus (European woodmouse), 590 nucleotides long. RefSeq lists it as uncharacterized. The transcript is spliced from 2 exons. Lineage: Eukaryota; Metazoa; Chordata; Mammalia; Rodentia; Muridae. The record is from RefSeq and is a predicted model, not a curated record.